UCAAGUGAAGAAGCGCAUACGGUGGAUGCCUUGGCAGUCAGAGGCGAUGAAAGACGUGGUAGCCUGCGAAAAGCUUCGGGGAGUCGGCAAACAGACUUUGAUCCGGAGAUCUCUGAAUGGGGGAACCCACCUAGGAUAACCUAGGUAUCUUGUACUGAAUCCAUAGGUGCAAGAGGCGAACCAGGGGAACUGAAACAUCUAAGUACCCUGAGGAAAAGAAAUCAACCGAGAUUCCCUUAGUAGUGGCGAGCGAACGGGGAUUAGCCCUUAAGCUUCAUUGAUUUUAGCGGAACGCUCUGGAAAGUGCGGCCAUAGUGGGUGAUAGCCCCGUACGCGAAAGGAUCUUUGAAGUGAAAUCGAGUAGGACGGAGCACGAGAAACUUUGUCUGAACAUGGGGGGACCAUCCUCCAAGGCUAAAUACUACUGACUGACCGAUAGUGAACCAGUACCGUGAGGGAAAGGCGAAAAGAACCCCGGAGAGGGGAGUGAAAUAGAACCUGAAACCGUAUGCGUACAAGCAGUGGGAGCCUACUUGUUAGGUGACUGCGUACCUUUUGUAUAAUGGGUCAGCGACUUAUAUUCAGUGGCAAGCUUAACCGUAUAGGGUAGGCGUAGCGAAAGCGAGUCUUAAUAGGGCGUUUAGUCGCUGGGUAUAGACCCGAAACCGGGCGAUCUAUCCAUGAGCAGGUUGAAGGUUAGGUAACACUGACUGGAGGACCGAACCCACUCCCGUUGAAAAGGUAGGGGAUGACUUGUGGAUCGGAGUGAAAGGCUAAUCAAGCUCGGAGAUAGCUGGUUCUCCUCGAAAGCUAUUUAGGUAGCGCCUCAUGUAUCACUCUGGGGGGUAGAGCACUGUUUCGGCUAGGGGGUCAUCCCGACUUACCAAACCGAUGCAAACUCCGAAUACCCAGAAGUGCCGAGCAUGGGAGACACACGGCGGGUGCUAACGUCCGUCGUGAAAAGGGAAACAACCCAGACCGCCAGCUAAGGUCCCAAAGUUGUGGUUAAGUGGUAAACGAUGUGGGAAGGCUUAGACAGCUAGGAGGUUGGCUUAGAAGCAGCCACCCUUUAAAGAAAGCGUAAUAGCUCACUAGUCGAGUCGGCCUGCGCGGAAGAUGUAACGGGGCUCAAACCACACACCGAAGCUGCGGGUGUCACGCAAGUGACGCGGUAGAGGAGCGUUCUGUAAGCCUGUGAAGGUGAGUUGAGAAGCUUGCUGGAGGUAUCAGAAGUGCGAAUGCUGACAUGAGUAACGACAAUGGGUGUGAAAAACACCCACGCCGAAAGACCAAGGGUUCCUGCGCAACGUUAAUCGACGCAGGGUUAGUCGGUUCCUAAGGCGAGGCUGAAAAGCGUAGUCGAUGGGAAACAGGUUAAUAUUCCUGUACUUCUGGUUACUGCGAUGGAGGGACGGAGAAGGCUAGGCCAGCUUGGCGUUGGUUGUCCAAGUUUAAGGUGGUAGGCUGAAAUCUUAGGUAAAUCCGGGGUUUCAAGGCCGAGAGCUGAUGACGAGUCGUCUUUUAGAUGACGAAGUGGUUGAUGCCAUGCUUCCAAGAAAAGCUUCUAAGCUUCAGGUAACCAGGAACCGUACCCCAAACCGACACAGGUGGUCGGGUAGAGAAUACCAAGGCGCUUGAGAGAACUCGGGUGAAGGAACUAGGCAAAAUGGCACCGUAACUUCGGGAGAAGGUGCGCCGGCUAGGGUGAAGGAUUUACUCCGUAAGCUCUGGCUGGUCGAAGAUACCAGGCCGCUGCGACUGUUUAUUAAAAACACAGCACUCUGCAAACACGAAAGUGGACGUAUAGGGUGUGACGCCUGCCCGGUGCCGGAAGGUUAAUUGAUGGGGUUAGCGCAAGCGAAGCUCUUGAUCGAAGCCCCGGUAAACGGCGGCCGUAACUAUAACGGUCCUAAGGUAGCGAAAUUCCUUGUCGGGUAAGUUCCGACCUGCACGAAUGG
Molecule: ribosomal RNA, 1958 nt
Filed under: human gut metagenome
Description: bacterial LSU rRNA
Rfam family: Bacterial large subunit ribosomal RNA
Source: RNAcentral